UACGGGGGGAGCAAGCGUUGUUCGGAUUUACUGGGCGUAAAGGGCGCGUAGGCGGCGCAACAAGUCACUUGUGAAAUCUCCGGGCUUAACCCGGAGCGGCCAAGUGAUACUGUCGUGCUAGAGUGCGGAAGGGGCUACUGGAAUUCUCGGUGUAGCGGUGAAAUGCGUAGAUAUCGAGAGGAACACCUGCGGCGAAGGCGGGUAGCUGGGCCGACACUGACGCUGGGGCGCGAAAGCCAGGGGAGCGAACGGG
Molecule: ribosomal RNA, 253 nt
Filed under: uncultured bacterium
Lineage: Bacteria
Description: partial 16S ribosomal RNA
Rfam family: Bacterial small subunit ribosomal RNA
Source: RNAcentral